GUACUGAUGAAGAGUACUAAACUAGGACGAAACAGCUGUCCAGUAC
Non-coding RNA from Trichobilharzia regenti, 46 nucleotides. The record is from Rfam. Lineage: Eukaryota; Metazoa; Platyhelminthes; Trematoda; Strigeidida; Schistosomatidae.